Molecule: ribosomal RNA, 515 nt
Filed under: uncultured bacterium
Lineage: Bacteria
Description: partial 16S ribosomal RNA
Rfam family: Bacterial small subunit ribosomal RNA
Source: RNAcentral
GAUGAACGCUGGCGGCGUGCCUAAUACAUGCAAGUCGAGCGAAUGGAUUAAGAGCUUGCUCUUAUGAGGUUAGCGGCGGACGGGUGAGUAACACGUGGGUAACCUGCCCAUAAGACUGGGAUAACUCCGGGAAACCGGGGCUAAUACCGGAUAACAUUUUGAACCGCAUGGUUCGAAAUUGAAAGGCGGCUUCGGCUGUCACUUAUGGAUGGACCCGCGUCGCAUUAGCUAGUUGGUGAGGUAACGGCUCACCAAGGCAACGAUGCGUAGCCGACCUGAGAGGGUGAGCGGCAACACUGGGACGGAGACACGGCCCAGACUCCUACGGGAGGCAGCAGUAGGGAAUCUUCCGCAAGGGACGAAAGUCUGACGGAGCAACGCCGCGUGAGUGAUGAAGGCUUUCGGGUCGUAAAACUCUGUUGUUAGGGAAGAACAAGUGCUAGUUGAAUAAGCUGGCACCUUGACGGUACCUAACCAGAAAGCCACGGCUAACUACGUGCCAGCCGCCACCGUAA